ACGAACGCUGGCGGCGUGCUUAACACAUGCAAGUCGAACGGAAAGGCCCUGCUUUUGUGGGGUGCUCGAGUGGCGAACGGGUGAGUAACACGUGAGUAACCUGCCCUUGACUUUGGGAUAACUUCAGGAAACUGGGGCUAAUACCGGAUAGGAGCUCCUGCUGCAUGGUGGGGGUUGGAAAGUUUCGGCGGUUGGGGAUGGACUGGCGGCUUAUCAGCUUGUUGGUGGGGUAGUGGCUUACCAAGGCUUUGACGGGUAGCCGGCCUGAGAGGGUGACCGGCCACAUUGGGACUGAGAUACGGCCCAGACUCCUACGGGAGGCAGCAGUGGGGAAUAUUGCACAAUGGGCGGAAGCCUGAUGCAGCAACGCCGCGUGCGGGAUGACGGCCUUCGGGUUGUAAACCGCUUUCGCCUGUGACGAAGCGUGAGUGACGGUAAUGGGUAAAGAAGCACCGGCUAACUACGUG
RNAcentral lists this ribosomal RNA (467 nucleotides) under uncultured bacterium. RNAcentral's name for it is "partial 16S ribosomal RNA". It matches the Rfam family "Bacterial small subunit ribosomal RNA", at positions 29 to 507 of the family's 1533-position model. The record is from RNAcentral.